UGACAUAAUACAGUGUGCUUUGCGGUUACCAGCCGCAGGCGACUGACGAAACCUCGCUCCGGCGGGGUUUUUU
RNAcentral lists this small RNA (73 nucleotides) under Escherichia coli. RNAcentral's name for it is "small RNA IstR-2". It matches the Rfam family "istR Hfq binding RNA", at positions 58 to 130 of the family's 130-position model. The record is from RNAcentral. Lineage: Bacteria; Pseudomonadati; Pseudomonadota; Gammaproteobacteria; Enterobacterales; Enterobacteriaceae. RNAcentral also lists the same sequence under 1 other name.